GUAGGGUGCGAGCGUUAAUCGGAAUUACUGGGCGUAAAGCGUGCGCAGGCGGUGAGUCAAGUCUGCUGUGAAAGCCCCGGGCUCAACCUGGGAAUGGCAGUGGAAACUGGCUCGCUGGAGUAUGGCAGAGGGGGGUGGAAUUCCGCGUGUAGCAGUGAAAUGCGUAGAGAUGCGGAGGAACACCGAUGGCGAAGGCAGCCCCCUGGGCCAAUACUGACGCUCAGGCACGAAAGCGUGGGGAGCAAACAGGAUUAGAUACCCUGGUAGUCCACGCCCUAAACGAUGUCAACUGGGUGUUGGGGAAGCGAUUCCUUGGUACCGUAGCUAACGCGUGAAGUUGACCGCCUGGGGAGUACGGCCGCAAGGUUA
This 369-nucleotide ribosomal RNA is filed under the name uncultured bacterium. RNAcentral's name for it is "bacterial SSU rRNA". It matches the Rfam family "Bacterial small subunit ribosomal RNA", at positions 527 to 896 of the family's 1533-position model. The record is from RNAcentral.